This 129-nucleotide ribosomal RNA is filed under the name Dipodomys ordii (Ord's kangaroo rat). The record is from RNAcentral. Lineage: Eukaryota; Metazoa; Chordata; Mammalia; Rodentia; Heteromyidae.
GUCUAUGGCCAUACAACCUUGAAUUGGCCAGUUCUUAUCUAAUCUCAGAAGCUAUACAGGGUCAGCCCUGGUAAGUACUUGAAUGGGAAAAGCCCCAAGUCCUUUAAAAUCUCUUGGAAUCCAUUAACA